CCUACGGGUGGCAGCAGUGGGGAAUAUUGGGCAAUGGGCGCAAGCCUGACCCAGCAACGCCGCGUGAAGGAAGAAGGCCCUCGGGUUGUAAACUUCUUUUAUGAAGGAAGAGCCAAAUAACGGUACUUGUUGAUUAAGCAACGGCGAACUACGUGCCAGCGGCCGCGGUAAUACGUAGGUGGCAAGCGUUAUCCGGAUUUACUGGGGGUAAGGGGCGUGUAGGGGGGAAGGCAAGUCAGAUGUGAAAACCAUGGGCUCAACCCAGGGCCUGCAUUUGAAACUGUUGUUCUUGAGUGUCGGAGAGGCAGUCGGAAGUCCGGGUGUAGCGGUGAAAUGCGUAGAUAUAAGGAGGAACACCAGUGGCGAAGGCGGACUGCUGGACAAUAACUGACGAUGAGGCGCGAAAGCGUGGGGAGCAAACAGGAUUAGAUACCCCUGUAGUC
RNAcentral lists this ribosomal RNA (443 nucleotides) under uncultured bacterium. Its description in RNAcentral is "partial 16S ribosomal RNA". It matches the Rfam family "Bacterial small subunit ribosomal RNA", at positions 338 to 795 of the family's 1533-position model. The record is from RNAcentral.